RNAcentral lists this ribosomal RNA (253 nucleotides) under uncultured bacterium. Its description in RNAcentral is "partial 16S ribosomal RNA". It matches the Rfam family "Bacterial small subunit ribosomal RNA", at positions 524 to 776 of the family's 1533-position model. The record is from RNAcentral.
UACGGGGGGGGCAAGCGUUGUUCGGAAUUACUGGGCGUAAAGGGCUCGUAGGCGGCCAACUAAGUCGGAUGUGAAAUCCCCAGGCUUAACCUGGGAACUGCAUCCGAUACUGGAUGGCUUGAAUCCGGGAGAGGGAUGCGGAAUUCCAGGUGUAGCGGUGAAAUGCGUAGAUAUCUGGAGGAACACCGGUGGCGAAGGCGGCUCACUGGACUGGUACUGACGCUGAGGCGCGAAAGCGUGGGGAGCAAACGGG